GAUGAAGAACGUAGCGAAAUGCGAUAAGUAAUGUGAAUUGCAGAAUUCAGUGAAUCAUCGAAUCUUUGAACGCACAUUGCGCCCGCUAGUAUUCUGGCGGGCAUGCCUGUCCGAGCGUCAUUUCAACCCUCAAGCCCCCGGGCUUGGUGUUGGGGAUCGGCGAGCCUCCGCGCCCGCCGUCCCCUAAAUCUAGUGGCGGUCUCGCUGUAGCUUCCUCUGCGUAGUAGCAUACCUCGCACUGGGAAACAGCGCGGCCACGCCGUUAAACCCCCAACUUCUGAACGUUUGACCUCGGAUCAGGUAGGAAUACCCGCUGAACUUAAGCAUAUCAUAAGCGGAGGA
This 342-nucleotide unclassified non-coding RNA is filed under the name soil metagenome. RNAcentral's name for it is "partial contains 5.8S ribosomal RNA, internal transcribed spacer 2, and large subunit ribosomal RNA". The stretch from base 1 to 120 matches the Rfam family "5.8S ribosomal RNA", at positions 35 to 154 of the family's 154-position model. The record is from RNAcentral.